Molecule: ribosomal RNA, 253 nt
Filed under: uncultured bacterium
Lineage: Bacteria
Description: partial 16S ribosomal RNA
Rfam family: Bacterial small subunit ribosomal RNA
Source: RNAcentral
UACGGAGGGGGCUAGCGUUGUUCGGAAUGACUGGGCGUAAAGCGCGCGUAGGCGGAUCAGAAAGUUGGGGGUGAAAUCCCAGGGCUCAACCUCGGAAUGGCCUUCAAAACUCCUGGUCUUGAGUUCGAGAGAGGUGAGUGGAAUUCCGAGUGUAGAGGUGAAAUUCGUAGAUAUUCGGAGGAACACCAGUGGCGAAGGCGGCUCACUGGCUCGACACUGACGCUGAGGUGCGAAAGCGUGGGGAGCAAACAGG